GGAGCGGUAGUUCAGUUGGUUAGAAUACCUGCCUGUCACGCAGGGGGUCACGGGUUCGACCCCCGUCCGUUCCG
Molecule: transfer RNA, 74 nt
Rfam family: tRNA
About the family: Transfer RNA (tRNA) molecules are approximately 80 nucleotides in length. Their secondary structure includes four short double-helical elements and three loops (D, anti-codon, and T loops). Further hydrogen bonds mediate the characteristic L-shaped molecular structure. tRNAs have two regions of fundamental functional importance: the anti-codon, which is responsible for specific mRNA codon recognition, and the 3' end, to which the tRNAs corresponding amino acid is attached (by aminoacyl-tRNA synthetases). tRNAs cope with the degeneracy of the genetic code in two manners: having more than one tRNA (with a specific anti-codon) for a particular amino acid; and 'wobble' base-pairing, i.e. permitting non-standard base-pairing at the 3rd anti-codon position.